This 2923-nucleotide ribosomal RNA is filed under the name Klebsiella pneumoniae. Its description in RNAcentral is "23S ribosomal RNA". It matches the Rfam family "Bacterial large subunit ribosomal RNA". Lineage: Bacteria; Pseudomonadati; Pseudomonadota; Gammaproteobacteria; Enterobacterales; Enterobacteriaceae. The record is from RNAcentral.
GGGUUGUGAGGUUAAGCGACUAAGCGUACACGGUGGAUGCCCUGGCAGUCAGAGGCGAUGAAGGACGUGCUAAUCUGCGAAAAGCGUCGGUAAGGUGAUAUGAACCGUUAUAACCGGCGAUGUCCGAAUGGGGAAACCCAGUGUGAUUCGUCACACUAUCGUUAACUGAAUACAUAGGUUAACGAGGCGAACCGGGGGAACUGAAACAUCUAAGUACCCCGAGGAAAAGAAAUCAACCGAGAUUCCCCCAGUAGCGGCGAGCGAACGGGGAGCAGCCCAGAGUCUGAAUCAGCUUGUGUGUUAGUGGAACGGUCUGGAAAGUCCGACGGUACAGGGUGAUAGUCCCGUACACCAAAAUGCACAGGCUGUGAACUCGAAGAGUAGGGCGGGACACGUGGUAUCCUGUCUGAAUAUGGGGGGACCAUCCUCCAAGGCUAAAUACUCCUGACUGACCGAUAGUGAACCAGUACCGUGAGGGAAAGGCGAAAAGAACCCCGGCGAGGGGAGUGAAAAAGAACCUGAAACCGUGUACGUACAAGCAGUGGGAGCACCUUCGGGUGUGACUGCGUACCUUUUGUAUAAUGGGUCAGCGACUUAUAUUCUGUAGCAAGGUUAACCGUAUAGGGGAGCCGCAGGGAAACCGAGUCUUAACUGGGCGUUAAGUUGCAGGGUAUAGACCCGAAACCCGGUGAUCUAGCCAUGGGCAGGUUGAAGGUUGGGUAACACUAACUGGAGGACCGAACCGACUAAUGUUGAAAAAUUAGCGGAUGACUUGUGGCUGGGGGUGAAAGGCCAAUCAAACCGGGAGAUAGCUGGUUCUCCCCGAAAGCUAUUUAGGUAGCGCCUCGUGAAUUCAUCUUCGGGGGUAGAGCACUGUUUCGGCUAGGGGGUCAUCCCGACUUACCAACCCGAUGCAAACUACGAAUACCGAAGAAUGUUAUCACGGGAGACACACGGCGGGUGCUAACGUCCGUCGUGAAGAGGGAAACAACCCAGACCGCCAGCUAAGGUCCCAAAGUCAUGGUUAAGUGGGAAACGAUGUGGGAAGGCACAGACAGCCAGGAUGUUGGCUUAGAAGCAGCCAUCAUUUAAAGAAAGCGUAAUAGCUCACUGGUCGAGUCGGCCUGCGCGGAAGAUGUAACGGGGCUAAACCAUGCACCGAAGCUGCGGCAGCGACACUAUGUGUUGUUGGGUAGGGGAGCGUUCUGUAAGCCUGCGAAGGUGACCUGUGAGGGUUGCUGGAGGUAUCAGAAGUGCGAAUGCUGACAUAAGUAACGAUAAAGCGGGUGAAAAGCCCGCUCGCCGGAAGACCAAGGGUUCCUGUCCAACGUUAAUCGGGGCAGGGUGAGUCGACCCCUAAGGCGAGGCCGAAAGGCGUAGUCGAUGGGAAACAGGUUAAUAUUCCUGUACUUGGUGUUACUGCGAAGGGGGGACGGAGAAGGCUAUGUUAGCCGGGCGACGGUUGUCCCGGUUUAAGCAUGUAGGCUGGUUGUCCAGGCAAAUCCGGAUAAUCAAGGCUGAGGUGUGAUGACGAGGCACUACGGUGCUGAAGUAACAAAUGCCCUGCUUCCAGGAAAAGCCUCUAAGCAUCAGGUAACAUUAAAUCGUACCCCAAACCGACACAGGUGGUCAGGUAGAGAAUACCAAGGCGCUUGAGAGAACUCGGGUGAAGGAACUAGGCAAAAUGGUGCCGUAACUUCGGGAGAAGGCACGCUGGUGUGUAGGUGAAGUCCCUGCGGAUGGAGCUGAGACCAGUCGAAGAUACCAGCUGGCUGCAACUGUUUAUUAAAAACACAGCACUGUGCAAACACGAAAGUGGACGUAUACGGUGUGACGCCUGCCCGGUGCCGGAAGGUUAAUUGAUGGGGUUAUCCGUAAGGAGAAGCUCUUGAUCGAAGCCCCGGUAAACGGCGGCCGUAACUAUAACGGUCCUAAGGUAGCGAAAUUCCUUGUCGGGUAAGUUCCGACCUGCACGAAUGGCGUAAUGAUGGCCAGGCUGUCUCCACCCGAGACUCAGUGAAAUUGAACUCGCUGUGAAGAUGCAGUGUACCCGCGGCAAGACGGAAAGACCCCGUGAACCUUUACUAUAGCUUGACACUGAACAUUGAGCCUUGAUGUGUAGGAUAGGUGGGAGGCUUUGAAGCGUGGACGCCAGUCUGCGUGGAGCCAACCUUGAAAUACCACCCUUUAAUGUUUGAUGUUCUAACGUUGGCCCCUUACCGGGGUUGCGGACAGUGUCUGGUGGGUAGUUUGACUGGGGCGGUCUCCUCCCAAAGCGUAACGGAGGAGCACGAAGGUUAGCUAAUCCUGGUCGGACAUCAGGAGGUUAGUGCAAUGGCAUAAGCUAGCUUGACUGCGAGCGUGACGGCGCGAGCAGGUGCGAAAGCAGGUCAUAGUGAUCCGGUGGUUCUGAAUGGAAGGGCCAUCGCUCAACGGAUAAAAGGUACUCCGGGGAUAACAGGCUGAUACCGCCCAAGAGUUCAUAUCGACGGCGGUGUUUGGCACCUCGAUGUCGGCUCAUCACAUCCUGGGGCUGAAGUAGGUCCCAAGGGUAUGGCUGUUCGCCAUUUAAAGUGGUACGCGAGCUGGGUUUAGAACGUCGUGAGACAGUUCGGUCCCUAUCUGCCGUGGGCGCUGGAGAAUUGAGGGGGGCUGCUCCUAGUACGAGAGGACCGGAGUGGACGCAUCACUGGUGUUCGGGUUGUCAUGCCAAUGGCACUGCCCGGUAGCUAAAUGCGGAAGAGAUAAGUGCUGAAAGCAUCUAAGCACGAAACUUGCCCCGAGAUGAGUUCUCCCUGAGACUUUAAGUCUCCUGAAGGAACGUUGAAGACGACGACGUUGAUAGGCCGGGUGUGUAAGCGCAGCGAUGCGUUGAGCUAACCGGUACUAAUGAACCGUGAGGCUUAACCUUACAACGCCGAAG